RNAcentral lists this ribosomal RNA (253 nucleotides) under uncultured bacterium. RNAcentral's name for it is "partial 16S ribosomal RNA". It matches the Rfam family "Bacterial small subunit ribosomal RNA", at positions 524 to 776 of the family's 1533-position model. The record is from RNAcentral.
UACGGAGGGAGCUAGCGUUGUUCGGAAUUACUGGGCGUAAAGCGCGCGUAGGCGGCUUUGUAAGUUAGAGGUGAAAGCCCGGGGCUCAACCCCGGAACUGCCUUUAAAACUGCAUCGCUUGAAUCCGGGAGAGGUGAGUGGAAUUCCGAGUGUAGAGGUGAAAUUCGUAGAUAUUCGGAGGAACACCAGUGGCGAAGGCGGCUCACUGGUCCGGUACUGACGCUGAGGUGCGAAAGCGUGGGGAACAAACAGG